RNAcentral lists this ribosomal RNA (254 nucleotides) under uncultured bacterium. RNAcentral's name for it is "partial 16S ribosomal RNA". It matches the Rfam family "Bacterial small subunit ribosomal RNA", at positions 524 to 776 of the family's 1533-position model. The record is from RNAcentral.
UACGUAGGCAGCAAGCGUUGUUCGGAUUUACUGGGCGUAAAGGGCGCGUAGGCGGCCACCGCAAGUCGACUGUGAAAUCUCCGGGCUUAACCCGGAAAGGUCAGCCGAUACUGCGGGGCUAGAGUGCAGAAGGGGCAACUGGAAUUCUCGGUGUAGCGGUGAAAUGCGUAGAUAUCGAGAGGAACACCUGCGGCGAAGGCGGGUUGCUGGGCUGACACUGACGCUGAUGCGCGAAAGCUAGGGGAGCGAACGGG